CCUACCUUUUGGUUUGGGAUAACGUCGGGAAACUGACGCUAAUACCAGAUAAGCCCUUCGGGGGAAAGAUUUAUCGCCGAUUGAUGGGCCCGCGUUAGAUUAGCUAGUUGGUGAGGUAACGGCUCACCAAGGCGACGAUCUAUAGCUGGUCUGAGAGGAUGACCAGCCUCACUGGGACUGAGACACGGCCCAGACUCCUACGGGAGGCAGCAGUGGGGAAUAUUGGACAAUGGGGGCAACCCUGAUCCAGCCAUGCCGCGUGAAUGAUGAAGGCCUUCGGGUUGUAAAGUUCUUUUGGUGGGGACGAUGAUGACGGUACCCACAGAAUAAGCUCCGGCUAACUUCGUGCCAGCAGCCGCGGUAAUACGAAGGGAGCUAGCGUUGUUCGGAAUUACUGGGCGUAAAGGGCGCGUAGGCGGUUUGGUAAGUUGGGUGUGAAAGCCCAGGGCUCAACCCUGGAACUGCACUCAAGACUAUCAGACUUGAAUUCGGUAGAGGUUGGUGGAAUUCCCAGUGUAGAGGUGAAAUUCGUAGAUAUUGGGAAGAAUAUCCGUGGCGAAGGCGGCCAACUGGACCGACAUUGACGCUGAGGCGCGAAAGCGUGGGGAUCAAACAGGAUUAGAUACCCUGGUAGUCCACGC
This 641-nucleotide ribosomal RNA is filed under the name uncultured bacterium. RNAcentral's name for it is "bacterial SSU rRNA". It matches the Rfam family "Bacterial small subunit ribosomal RNA", at positions 125 to 800 of the family's 1533-position model. The record is from RNAcentral.